UCAGCGGCGGACGGGUGAGUAAUGCCUAGGAAUCUGCCUAUUAGUGGGGGACAACGUUUCGAAAGGAACGCUAAUACCGCAUACGUCCUACGGGAGAAAGCAGGGGACCUUCGGGCCUUGCGCUAAUAGAUGAGCCUAGGUCGGAUUAGCUAGUUGGUGAGGUAAUGGCUCACCAAGGCGACGAUCCGUAACUGGUCUGAGAGGAUGAUCAGUCACACUGGAACUGAGACACGGUCCAGACUCCUACGGGAGGCAGCAGUGGGGAAUAUUGGACAAUGGGCGAAAGCCUGAUCCAGCCAUGCCGCGUGUGUGAAGAAGGUCUUCGGAUUGUAAAGCACUUUAAGUUGGGAGGAAGGGCAGUAAGUUAAUACCUUGCUGUUUUGACGUUACCGACAGAAUAAGCACCGGCUAACUUCGUGCCAGCAGCCGCGGUAAUACGAAGGGUGCAAGCGUUAAUCGGAAUUACUGGGCGUAAAGCGCGCGUAGGUGGUUUGUUAAGUUGGAUGUGAAAGCCCCGGGGCUCAACCUGGGAACUGCAUC
This 540-nucleotide ribosomal RNA is filed under the name bacterium EP1.32. RNAcentral describes it as "bacterial SSU rRNA". It matches the Rfam family "Bacterial small subunit ribosomal RNA", at positions 92 to 627 of the family's 1533-position model. The record is from RNAcentral.